ACCACCGAAAGGACCUUUUCAAUGGCGCCCGGUCUCGCUAACAAUUCAUGUAACUCGAAAACUGAGUUAACAGCGAUACACUCGAUCUCACUGGGUCUAAGCUCCAGCAUAGAAGCGUCGAGAUCAGCUAGACUAUUAGCUACAAAUCCCCGAUACUCAAACUCAACAUGGAUAGUCUCUGCCAACUGAGCCAAUUUCAAGCCCACUUCUUGAAGAUGGUCGGAGUUAUCAUGAGACGGUGGUCCAAUCCCGGUUAAACGAAACGCCGGCGGACCACCAGGUCUAAGCGCGAGAGCUUGCAACAGCGCAGGCCACUGCAUCCCUUGGUUCAUGGAGAAGUCGAUAACGUGCACUCGUUUUUUCCC
This 365-nucleotide unclassified non-coding RNA is filed under the name Hevea brasiliensis (rubber tree). The record is from RNAcentral. Lineage: Eukaryota; Viridiplantae; Streptophyta; Magnoliopsida; Malpighiales; Euphorbiaceae.